GUAAAUAAAUACGUUAUACCGUAGACAGUGGGUGCGAACCAAUCGCUUAAUUUCCUACCGAGGUGUGUUGAUAUAAGAGAACGCCGUUCGUAAAACACGUUCUCUCAACCAAAGUGCCUCUAUGUCUACUCAUAGAGGCACUUUUUUUCUCUGAAC
Pontibacillus marinus BH030004 = DSM 16465 is the source of this 156-nucleotide regulatory RNA element. It matches the Rfam family "Ribosomal protein L10 leader". Rfam says of the family: This family is a putative r-protein leader autoregulatory structure found in B. subtilis and other low-GC Gram-positive bacteria. It is located in the 5' untranslated regions of mRNAs encoding ribosomal proteins L10 and L12 (rplJ-rplL). Lineage: Bacteria; Bacillati; Bacillota; Bacilli; Caryophanales; Bacillaceae. The record is from Rfam.